AUUGAACGCUGGCGGCAUGCUUUACACAUGCAAGUCGAACGGCAGCGUGGGCUUCGGCCUGGCGGCGAGUGGCGAACGGGUGAGUAAUACAUCGGAACGUGCCCAGUAGUGGGGGAUAGCUCGGCGAAAGCCGGAUUAAUACCGCAUACGACCUGAGGGUGAAAGCGGGGGAUCUUCGGACCUCGCGCUAUUGGAGCGGCCGAUGGCAGAUUAGCUAGUUGGUGGGGUAAAGGCCUACCAAGGCGACGAUCUGUAGCUGGUCUGAGAGGACGACCAGCCACACUGGGACUGAGACACGGCCCAGACUCCUACGUGAGGCAGCAGUGGGGAAUUUUGGACAAUGGGCGAAAGCCUGAUCCAGCAAUGCCGCGUGUGUGAUGAAGGCCUUCGGGUUGUAAAGCACUUUUGGCGGGAACGAAAAGGACUGUGCCAAUACCACGGUUCGAUGACGGUACCCGCAGAAUAAGCACCGGCUAACUACGUG
Molecule: ribosomal RNA, 484 nt
Filed under: uncultured bacterium
Lineage: Bacteria
Description: partial 16S ribosomal RNA
Rfam family: Bacterial small subunit ribosomal RNA
Source: RNAcentral